This 1402-nucleotide long non-coding RNA is filed under the name Volvox carteri. RNAcentral's name for it is "long non-coding RNA (VCAR_LNC003099)". Lineage: Eukaryota; Viridiplantae; Chlorophyta; Chlorophyceae; Chlamydomonadales; Volvocaceae. The record is from RNAcentral.
GGGGAGGAGUCCAGCUCGGAGGACCCGGGCAAAUAUAGCGAAGCUAGCAGCAGCAGCAGCAGUGGCAGUGGCAGCAGCGACAGUGGUGGAAGUGAGCAGUAACAUGGCAGCAGUGAUGAGCGCUUGGGGGUGCACACACCAUGUCGGCCCCAGGCAGGAUGGGACAGACCAAUCCCAAUAGGUGCCAGUACAUGUCAUGCAUCGGGGGUUUCAUCCGUAGGAGUAGGCAUGAACUCUGCAAGUGGUGGUGAGACUCCUUGGCGAGCACUUGCUGUAUGGGGGGUGACAUGAACACUGUUUUCGAGGACGAUGGUUGAGAUGAAUGCAUCAGGCUGUCAGGCUGGCUGGUCGGCGUUGUGAGUCCAAAGCGCCUUGGUCCACAAGCACACUGAGACUUAGGCUACUUUGACAAGGGGUGUGCGUCCAUUUUGAGGCUUGCCGCAAGUAUUCACCAAUCGUUAAUUUAACAUGCAGUAAGCGUCACAUCACAGAGUAAUAUCUGCCUGUGUAACCCUGAUAACAGGGUCUCCACCCGUAAUUGUACAUGUAAUUGGUUACAUGUGCCCGUAAUUCACCUCCAGCACCGCGUAAAAUCCACCCGUAAUCACUGGGUCUCCACCCGUAAUUGUACGUGUAAUUGGUUACAUGUGCCCGUAAUUCACCUCCAGCACCGCGUAAAAUCCACCCGUAAUCACUGGGUCUUCACCCGUAAUUUCGCGUGUAAUUGGUUACAUGCGCCUGUAAUUCACCUCCAACACCGCGUAAAAUCCACCCGUAAUCACUGGGUCUUCACCCGUAAUUUCGCGUGUAAUUGGUUACAUGCGCCCGUAAUUCACCUCCAACACCGCGUAAAAUCCACCCGUAAUCACUGGGUCUUCACCCGUAAUUUCGCGUGUAAUUGGUUACAUGCGCCCGUAAUUCACCUCCAGCACCGCGUAAAAUCCACCCGUAAUCACUGGGUCUUCACCCGUAAUUUUGCGUGUAAUUGGUUACAUGCGCCCGUAAUUCACCUCCAGCACCGCGUAAAAUCCACCCGUAAUCACUGGGUCUUCACCCGUAAUUUUGCGUGUAAUUGGUUACAUGCGCCCGUAAUUAACCUCCAGCACCGCGUAAAAUCCACCCGUAAUCACUGGGUCUUCACCCGUAAAUGUUCACCUGUAUCCUUGUGCUCAAAUUACGGGACCCGUAACGUGUUACGGACCCGUAAUUUCUGUCAAAUUACGGGUGGAUUGACCCAAAAUUACGGGUAAAAUGACCCCCCUUUUCCCAGAGUGCGAGUGAACUGGUCCAUCCUGCACCACAAGCGCCAUUGUGGGUCUAACUCCUAUGCUUACGUAUCAUGCCUGUGCACUGAAGGCCUGCAUGUAACUCUGGCAAGCAUGCUACACCCUGACAUGAGCAU